UGUCCAAACUACUGCAAAUAGAGACAGCAGUUGCUAUCCAUCUGCUGAAAAUUCCACAAUUACAUCAGCAAUUGCUGAACCUGCUGUCCAAAAAUCAGCAAGUGUUGAAUCUGCCACCAUUGCAUCCCUUAUUGCUGUCCAAACACCAGCAACCUCAGAAAUUGACACAACUGAACCAGAAGUUGUUGCACUUGCUGAACCAGCAACAUACACCACUGAAAUAGCUCCUGAACAGCCAGCAAAGAAGCAAC
Molecule: long non-coding RNA, 251 nt
Filed under: Manihot esculenta (cassava)
Lineage: Eukaryota; Viridiplantae; Streptophyta; Magnoliopsida; Malpighiales; Euphorbiaceae
Description: long non-coding RNA (MESC_LNC006416)
Source: RNAcentral